Gasterosteus aculeatus aculeatus (three-spined stickleback) is the source of this 1153-nucleotide long non-coding RNA. NCBI's taxonomy places the organism in Eukaryota, Metazoa, Chordata, Actinopteri, Perciformes, Gasterosteidae. The record is from Ensembl.
GUUGUGUCGAGAGAGUGAUGAUUCUGAUCCCGACCGGCAACUGACAUCAAAAAGGAGAAUAAGGAAGCUCAUGUAAAAGUGCAUUAAAAAAUGGGCAGCAACUGAGUUAGAUAUCAUACGACUCUUGUGAUGUGUGUGACGACGAGCAAUCGCCCUCCAUGGUGAUGUGCAUGAAACAGCCAUUUUAUUUUCGCUUGUGGCAAUAGUCUAAUACGAUUGUUAUAUAUAUAUAAUAACAGAAAAUGCCUGCGAGUACCUUUUGUCUAUUAUCGGUGGAGGAGGGCGACCUGGCUGUUAUCGGCACAUGCUCGAUGUCAAUGAAGAUCUCAAGUGAAGGAGCCGCCCUCUAACAGCUGCCUGCACGGGUAAUGAGCCGAGGGUUGACAAAUACAAACAUCCACCAGGAAGCCUCACGCGAGCACAGACGGAAGCAAGAGGGGAGCUUGAUUGUGAGAAAAAAGGGAGAUGAGUUAAUCCAACAUCUGCGUGACCUGCGUUCAAAGUAAAAGACUUUGAUUCCUUUAUCAGGUCUGUUUCGACUUUGGACGCGCUGGGAAUGGACGUGCCGUGCAACUCGGUGUUCAAUGGAGGGGAAGCGGAGGAGGAGAUCCAGAGACAGAUAACGUCCAGCCGCAUGCCGUGAGUGACUGAGAGCCUGCAGGGGCUUUCCUGUUGUGACCCCGCAGGCCGGAGCUGCUGCUGCCGCCGCAGAAAGAUCCGUCUGUUGGGAGGAACCAACGAUCCAUCACAGCUGAAGACCACAAGACGACCUUUGACAGGCGCAGACCCCUCAGCCGUCGGCGGCGCAGCCCGCAGGCCCGUCCGCCCCCGGGAUCAUUCCACCUUCACCAGCAAAGGUCGCAGUUUGAAUUUGAGGCCUCCUCGCUACAUUGAGCGCCUUGUCUUUCACACAGAGGGAGAGUUGGUUGUCACACGGCCGUUUGACUGAUGACCUGUCAAUCGUUUUGGUAAAAAUCACUGUGAUCCUCCUCUGUUCCUGCCUUGACUUCAACAUCGGCGACCAGAAACACUGGUGCUCAUUUACUCUGCUCGGUUUAUUGCAGUGCACUUUAGUGCCGUUUGUUUUCUCUGGUGCGUUGUCGUGCUCUUGUCUUGUGAAGGAAGCAGGAACCACUGAAUGACUGUACUUGGC